UUUGGUUUUAAAAAAAUGGUCACUCAUCAUUCAUCACUCGUUAUUCAUCACCUAUCACUUAUCACUCAUCACUCAUUACUCAUCACUCAAAAUAUCCCCAAUUUCCUACCCACCUGUUUGGCACAUAUUUUCAAUUUCUCAUCACUCAAUUUUUUCUACUUUUUGUGGGACCCAUACCUGAGCACUAUGUCAUAAAUUCUGUUAGCCUACCCGCCUUCCCCCUCACUCUCUUCAUUUCAUUCUCUUCCACCUUCAGUCACCAUUGCCCUGUUACUCUCACUGAAGCUAUCCUCAUUCUCUUUCAUUUCUCAUGUACACACACAUCAACAAGAACAAUCCUAUCCCAAACCUACGGCCAAACCAUCAUAAACAUACAAACACAAAUGAAUACAAACAUAAACUCAUAGGUACCCACAGAUGUUCAAAUCAAAACCCACAAAUACCCAAAUCAAAAAUCACAAAUACAGACCUUAUGCCCAAAUCAAAUCCGAACCCAAACCACAAAUCUGAACCCAUAACAGCUACCCACAUCUCAGAUCUAAACCCACCACAGCCACACCACAAAUCUGAACCACACACACACACCCACACCCAUGUCUCAAAAAUCAAAACCCUAUAACCACAUCUCAAAUCCGAACUCCGCACCCAUAAGAUAGAGAGAUAAUUUUUUUUUUAAUCGCCUGGGUAUUGUUGUUCGCCUGGGUUUCGGUCUCCGCUUGGGUUUCAGUCAUGAAAAAAGACUUUCUUCGCUCCAGAAGUUCGAUCAACGAAUGGAAAUUUAUGGGUUUUUGUUUCUGGGUAUAAAUUUAUGCAUGUAUGAAAAUGGUGGAGUGGGUCUAAAGAAGAAAGAAAGAAAGAAAAAGAAAGAAGAAGAAGAACCAAAAAAAAAAACAUUGGAGUGGGUCUGAAGAAGAUGGAAAAAGAAAGAAGAAGAAGAACCAAAAAAAAAAAAUCUGAAGAAGGAAAAAGAAAGAAGAAGAAGAAGAACCAAAAAAAAAAAAAAAAAACGUUGGAGUGGGUUUGAAGAAGAAGAAGAACCAAAAAAAAAAAUCUGAAGAAGGAAAAAGAAUGAAGAAGAAGAACCAAAAAAAAAAACGCUGGAGUGGGUUUGAAGAAGAAGGAAAAAGAAAGAAGAAGAAGAACCAAAAAAAAAAUCUGAAGAAGGAAAAAGAAUGAAGAAGAAGAACCAAAAAAAAAAAAAAAAAACACUGGAGUGGGUUUGAAGAAGAAGGAAAAAGAAAGAAGAAGAAGAACCAAAAAAAAAAUCUGAAGAAGGAAAAAGAAUGAAGAAGAAGAACCAAAAAAAAAAAAAAAAACGUUGGAGUGGGUUUGAAGAAGAAGGAAAGAAAGAAAAAGAAAGAAGAAGAAGAAGAAAAAAAAAACAUUUGGGGUGGGUCUGAAGAAGAAAGAAAAAUAAAGAAGAAGAUGAGGGGAAAAAAAAAAGCCUUGGAGCAGGUCUGAAGAAGAAAGAAAAAGAAAGAAAGAAAGAAGGAGACAAUGCCGUUGGUGAUGGGACAAGUCACUGGUUGAAUGGGUCCCACUGAGACAGUUUAUUACAAAAGUGCCACUGAAUCAUGGGUGAUGAGUCUUGAAAACAAGGAUAUUGUGUUUUCAUUUUUGGUCAUCAUCACUCAGUUUUUUGAGUGAUUGGAUGACCAAAACCGGGUGACCAACUAUGGAUGAUGGUAUCCAAACAAAAAUUUUUCUGUGGGUCCCACAAAUUUUGGAUGAUGAGUGAUGAAAACACAAUCAUAUCACUCAAAACUCUCUCAUCCAAACAACCCCUUAGCUUCAUUCAAUUCAUCAAUUGUGAGCCUUCCAAAAGUCCAAUAAUAUCACUUUGCACGUCAAGGUGUCCAGCGCUACAUUCUCGACAAACACCCAUUGGGCUCGAUUAAUUCUUUGUUUGCAAUACAUUUUGUGUACUACUAUGCUCGGUAUUUUCUCUCGCCUUGUAAAGAGAGGUGACGCUGGGUCAAACUGGUUGUAUAUAUGGGUGUACGGUCAGUAUGGGCAAGGACCAGGUGGGUUAUUUUCAUGGAGUGGGGCUUUCUCUUGUUGUAUUCACCAUGGUCCAUGGCAAAAUUAUAGAGCCUAGGUAUUUGGGUCCAGUCCUUUUAUAGGGAUAGCAUGCAUUACCAGUUCUUAGUUUGAAUUUUAAUUUACUUUGGAUUAUGAGGAAACACUUGAUCGAGAAGCAAGCCUAGAUCAAGAGUUUCCUCAUCAACCCCUUUUCCUGGUUUUAUGUAUGAACUGCACAUCACACUCAUCAUGGUAAAGUUCUAUUUUUCGUCGAUAA
This is a long non-coding RNA of Quercus robur (English oak), 2299 nucleotides long. RefSeq lists it as uncharacterized. Lineage: Eukaryota; Viridiplantae; Streptophyta; Magnoliopsida; Fagales; Fagaceae. The record is from RefSeq and is a predicted model, not a curated record. The transcript has 2 exons.